ACAGCAUGUCUAGUAUAAGCAUUACAUACGUGUAAACUCUCGCAAUGUGCUCAUUAAAUCAGUUAUCGUUUAUUUGAUAGUACCUUACUACAUGGAUAACCGUGGUAAUUCUAGAGCUAAUACAUGCUAAAAACCCCAACUUCGGGAGGGGUGUAUUUAUUAGAUAAAAAACCAACGCCCUUCGGGGCUUCUUGGUGAUUCAUAAUAACUUUACGGAUCGCAUGGCCUUGCGCCGGCGACGGUUCAUUCAAAUUUCUGCCCUAUCAACUUUCGAUGGUAAGGUAUUGGCUUACCAUGGUUUCAACGGGUAACGGGGAAUUAGGGUUCGAUUCCGGAGAGGGAGCCUGAGAAACGGCUACCACAUCCAAGGAAGGCAGCAGGCGCGCAAAUUACCCAAUCCCGACACGGGGAGGUAGUGACAAUAAAUACUGAUACAGGGCUCUUUUGGGUCUUGUAAUUGGAAUGAGUACAAUUUAAACCUCUUAACGAGGAACAAUUGGAGGGCAAGUCUGGUGCCAGCAGCCGCGGUAAUUCCAGCUCCAAUAGCGUAUAUUAAAGUUGUUGCAGUUAAAAAGCUCGUAGUUGAAACUUGGGUCUGGCUGGCAGGUCCGCCUCACCGCGUGUACUUGUCCGGCCGGGCCUUCCUUCUGGAGAACCUCAUGCCCUUCACUGGGCGUGUUGGGGACCAGGACUUUUACUUUGAAAAAAUUAGAGUGUUCAAAGCAGGCCUUUGCUCGAAUACGUUAGCAUGGAAUAAUAGAAUAGGACGUGCGGUCCUAUUUUGUUGGUUUCUAGGACCGCCGUAAUGAUUAAUAGGGACAGUCGGGGGCAUCAGUAUUCAAUUGUCAGAGGUGAAAUUCUUGGAUUUAUUGAAGACUAACUACUGCGAAAGCAUUUGCCAAGGAUGUUUUCAUUAAUCAGUGAACGAAAGUUAGGGGAUCGAAGACGAUCAGAUACCGUCGUAGUCUUAACCGUAAACUAUGCCGACUAGGGAUCGGGCGAUGUGUAUUUUCUGACUCGCUCGGCACCUUACGAGAAAUCAAAGUAUGUGGG
RNAcentral lists this ribosomal RNA (1053 nucleotides) under Camarosporidiella moricola. Its description in RNAcentral is "SSU rRNA". It matches the Rfam family "Eukaryotic small subunit ribosomal RNA", at positions 51 to 1111 of the family's 1831-position model. Lineage: Eukaryota; Fungi; Ascomycota; Dothideomycetes; Pleosporales. The record is from RNAcentral.